CUAGCUGAGGGUAAUCCAUCUUCUGGCUUGAACAAUUCUGGCCCAUCUUUGUCAGACCACAUAUCAAACCCUCCAGGCUUUUGAAACCGAUCAGCCAAGACGCUCAAUUGCUCAUCAGCACUCACAGAGAACAAUGUAGGUGCCUUUUGAACCACUUCCCAAGGCCUCUCGAGCUCAGAGACAGCAGCUUUGAGCUCGGCCCGCUUCCUCAUCUCGUAGAUUUGGAGUAGGUGCCUUUUCUACCACUUCCCAAGGUCUCUCAAGCUCAGAGACAGCAGCUUUGAGCUCAGCCCGCUUCCUCAUCUCAUAGAUUUGGCGUUCCCGAGCCAAUCGAGCCUUAAGAAGCUGUUUUGCUUUCUUUGCUUGCAUU
RNAcentral lists this long non-coding RNA (370 nucleotides) under Nicotiana benthamiana. Its description in RNAcentral is "long non-coding RNA (NBEN_LNC026163)". Lineage: Eukaryota; Viridiplantae; Streptophyta; Magnoliopsida; Solanales; Solanaceae. The record is from RNAcentral.